Papio anubis (olive baboon) is the source of this 1637-nucleotide long non-coding RNA. The record is from Ensembl. NCBI's taxonomy places the organism in Eukaryota, Metazoa, Chordata, Mammalia, Primates, Cercopithecidae.
AUGGCCAGAUUUAGCUGCCGGUAUAUUUUUGAAAAAUAUUUUAGGGAAAAAAGAAAGAAGAUAGAGGGAAAUGAGAUAAAGGGACAUGUGGCCUCAUUCUUCACUGUCCCAAAUUCCCUUUUCAAAGUCAUAAACCUACACCCACCUCUUUCAAUCGCCCCCUCCAUUCUUGCCUCUGGCCCUGUGUCCCUGCCUUGUCUUCCCAAGGGCUGCAGCAAUAUUUCAAAUGUUCCUCCUACAGCUGGGUGCCUGCACUGGUUUCUGGGCUCCUGGCAUCCUGAAGCCCCACCCUGAUGCUGGUUCCACACGUGCCUGUGCACAUUCAGGGCUGUGAAGGGUCAGUGGUCCACGUGAAAUUCCAGGAAGGAACAAGCCUUCAGGGGCACUGUCCUUGGCUGGUUCCUACAGCACUUCCUUCCUUGUACCCCACAGAGCCUUUGGCAUGUAGUGUCACGUGUUCAUCUAAGUACCACUGAUGGUUUUGAUUUUCCAUCUGAAGAGUGCACAGAAGCUGGUCUUGGACAAUAAAAGCAAAGGUGAAGGUGCCAGGGAGGAAGGAUCAGUGUGAGGAGGGUAUGGAAUGGUGCAUGCAAAGUACCAGCACAGCGCCUGGCACAGUAUAGACUCCUCACACAGAGGGCUGUCCUCCCUGCCCCCAAGGAGAUCUCAGAGGCCCCCCUCCUGCCAAAGCUGCAUUUCAACUCCUCGCAUACACUUGGGCUUCAGUCCAUUACACAUGGAAAUUUGGCUUCAUUGAUAUAAAGGGGCUAAUUAUCACAUGAGACGUAAUUACAAGACAGGAAAUGGAUUUAUAGACGCCAUCAGUGGGAGGGGAAGUUGCAGCGGCUGCUCGGACUGCUCUGUGCUCCUAAAGGGCUAAAGCUGUCCCCAGCGGACAGGAUUCUUUGCUUUGCUGAGAAAUGUGCUCCUAGAGAGGUCGGCAGUACUACAGAUUUCUGGAAAUCAAAUCUAGUUCUGUCUCUGAUUUUGUUCCACAAUUGGCAAUGUAUUCCCACAGGAUCUCUUCACAUAAUAAAAAUCAUACUUAAAAUGUAGUUAGUCUUAAAGGAAAUAUUAAAAGAGAAAGAUAAGUCAUACAAUAGAUUCUAAAACUAGCCCAAAGGAGAAAUGGUGGGUAGAAACUGUACAGCACUAGUACCUGCUUUUCUUUGAGGUUAGAUGAACAGAAAGAGCUAUAUUUGCCAGACACGGUGGUGUGCACCUGUAGUCUCAGCUACCUGGGAAGCUGAUCGCUUGAACCCAGGAGUUCAAGGCCAGCCUGGGCAGCACCCUUUCUAAAAGCAGGGGAAAAAGAGCUAUAUGCCUGCUAAUUAACCUAAUAAAUAGUCCCUUAUGAUUUCAUCUUUCACCUUAAAAUCAUAUAUCUUAAUUUAGACACACAUACACACACAGAAAUGUAAACAGACAAUAGGUAUAAGUGAAAAGGCCCUUCGUCAUUGAUAACCAAAGAUAAGAAAUUAGUACUAGUUAAUAUUUAGGGAGCACACUCUGUGCCAAGUCUGCGCUUUGCCUGUCUUAUUUGUUCAUCUUCAUAACAGUCCCAUGAGGAGGGUGCAGUCAUAAUCCUCAAUUGAUAGCUAAGGAACUGACACUUAGGAAGGUCAACCAAGGUGGCC